UCGUUGGAGCGGCGCCAUUUUGUGCGCAGCGGGGCCACAUUGCCCUCGCCUAUAAAAGGCUGCGGUGACGUCAGCGCCCGACAUUUAAAAUCUCAUCGUGGUGCGCAGUGGUCGUGAAAGUGUUGUGACAAGAUCUUCAAGUGAAUUUGCCUGGGUUGGAUUCAGUCCCAUUGCGUUUCGCGUGGGUCUGCAUCCAUCCGAUGGCCGCCAUCUUGGCCGUCGCUGGGGCGCGGUCGCUGCUUACACAACAAUGGGUUUGUAACGGUAUCGUGCAUUUAUUUUAGUUUAGUUAAUUUUGUGAUCCAAAUGUAAAAAGUUAAAUAUUUCAAUUUCAAUCUAUUUCUCGAUAGUAAAAUUGGAAUUUGGUUAUUAUUCAUAUUGAAUAAGAUAAAUUGUAACAUAUGUUUAAGUAUGAAAAAUAAAAAGAUUAUUUUCAAUGGAAAGUUGUAUUUCUCCUAUUUUGUUACUGUGAUUUCACCCGAAAUGUGUUAUUCCAUGAGUCAUCAUCGUCACUUCGCUUCGUGGAGAAAGUGGCGAGUGCGAACGAGAUCGAGCUCCAGACUCGGCCGAGCAGCCUGCGGUCUGCCGCCGAGCCGUCGCCGCCGCGGCGUUAAGGUUCCCUGCGUUCAGCCCACGGCUCCACUGUGCCAAACGGCGCACGCUCAAAUACGUCCCGGUUAUCAGCCCACUAGGUAAACGUUAGGCCUCCGAAUUCCUCAUACGACUGGUGUAAUAAUAUCUUAUAUUCCAUAACAAUGUCUGCCCGUGCCCGCAUGCGGGCCCCCUGCGUGUAACGUUGUGUUUAGACCCCAGAGCGUUGCGGUUACCGUGCAGCUGCAGACCUAGUCGUGGCGGGUUGUCGCAAUCGCAUUGUUCAUCGUGCGCACGGCCUCGACGCGUCACGGUCACGUGAUGGCGCUACCCGGAACACUGAACACUAGAAUUAUCUUCCCGUAAGGAAGUACCUAUGUUGACAAUGUCGGUGAGUCACUUGUUACUGAGAUUGGUCUUAUUUUGAAAUAUAAAAACAGACAUUUUGGUAUUUUAUUGAUGAUCAUAAUAAUGAACAUUAUCGUGAGUGACAUUUUCUCUUAAUAUUACCAAAAAUAAAGCAACUUUCCUUGCAAUUUGGACAAGUCACUGCUAUUGCUAAGAAAAUUUUCCAAUGUUGACAUAAAAACAUGCCUGAUUACUGUACUGAAUCAGUGAGUCAUCUCACUUAGGUCAUGUCUAUGAAAUAACUUUUCUCCAAACAGGGUAUAAUGACAUAAUUUAGGAACAUACUAGAACGAUCGGGAGGCCUUCUCGAGGUGACUUGAAGGAGUUUUCGGAGACUGCUACCGAGACCAUGAAGUAUCCUAUCCGUGACCUAGCAAAUCUUCGCGGCGCUUUCUAUAUUAGGUAACCAGAGGUCACGUUAUUUGUGUGGAUGCAUGCAUAAACAUCUUAACAGCAGCUAUAUCUACACUUCGAGUGAGCAGUCUCCAGUUUAGUAUAUGAAAAUUACACAUGCACUGAGUUGGAAAUAUUAAAUUGAGGAAACGUGGCGUGGGCUGAUCAUUUCCGGGACCAUUCUGAACCAAAAUCGCGACAUAGGCUACACACUGAUAAACGAUUGCAUACAAAUUAAGAAUAGGAAUAUGAAGCAAGGACUUGUUAGAAUGCGCUAUACACCGGGACCGUGGCUGGUGGUCAAGGUUGUGCGUGACCGAGUCAACCAACCAAACGUAAACAAAGCGAGGUGAAGCCCUUCUCCGCGAAGGCUAGCCCGGCCCCUAUAACAAGUGGACCGUCGGCCUCCACAGAUAAGUCAAUGCCGGUCCUAAUCUCUCUCUCUCUACCCCAAAUCACUGUUAGAUAAUGAACCUACCAAGGGCUGAAGUGCGUGACCAAGUAAGACAGAUAUGCUUCGGUAUCAUUCUAAAAUUGAUAAUGACAGCAUGAUGUAAACUUCUAAUGCUAAGGUGAGUUUAGGCAACGGUUUUUUACUACCUAUACAAGAAAAAAUGAAAUGAUGGUUGAUGGUUACCUCUACCUAAGUAUACAAAAUGAUUAAUGGACGUAUCGUUAGUAGGUAGGUACGUCACUUAACCAUACAUUUCAUUUUUUCAGAUCCUGUAAAGUUGCAUACUAUGCUAAUAUCUCUAUUCGAGGAACUAUAAAAUACAGUACCUACAGAUUUUUCAUAUAAUACAAAUUAUAAUAAUGGACACAUAACUUAGCGCCUAUCUAAUUUAGCUAUGAAACAGGAAACGAAUGUAUUGCAACAUAAUUAUUAGAUGUUGAAAAGUAUAUAAGAAAUGUCGUGUGACUGAAUCUAAUAACCAUAUAUAAUAAAAUAAAACCUUAAUACGGGAGCGAAAUAUGAAACGAGACUUCGAAACUGGGCAUUGGACUAGUAAUCCCUUCCCUUUACCAUUGUGUGUGUUUUUUUACAUCUGCAGGUAUGAGUCCGACCGGGUAGGGUUCUUACCAAAUAACUACACUAGACUGAGGAUGCAAAUAAAACUACUGCAAACUACAACUACUAAAUUAGUUGGAAAAUCUAGAAGAUUGGAGGAGCCGUGGGAAUAAAAAUAUGAAAGACUUGUUUACUCUAUAUCCUUAUGGAUUACUAUUGACCUGAAAAGCGGUAACAUGCUCUUGGCCACUAACCCCCUAAUUUUUUUGUUUCGAUGUCUUGUUUUGUUUUAGGCAGGCAACUAAUUUACCCACCCACUGACAACGACAAGUACGAGACAAAAUGACACUUGAAACCAAUGCUAAGAGGAAACUGUACCAAAGCAACCAAAUUUGCAAGCCAGUUUUAUUUUUGAAUGAAAUAGUUUCGUUUGAUUUCAAUCGAGGUGAAAUGGUCAUGAAAUUGCAUACCUGUUUUGUUUUUUUUUUCUGUUGAAAGGUAUCUAAUGGCAACUACGAGCUUGUAAUGGAUAAGAUCCAACGCCCACGUAGUGAACUGACAACCAUUGAGCCUUCCUGUAUGCUGAAUAAAUAAGCCAGGGCUAAAACAUCUUUCAAACUGCCAGCAAGAGGUCUAUAUGAGACAUUUAAUAAAACUGGAAAAUAAGGGUUACGUCCCAAUUCGCAAUAGAAAUGUUUUGCUGAGGCUGUUCGACUUCAAAAUGUGUAAUUAUUUGGAGGAGCAGCUGUUAAUGGAUUCAAUUGUUAUAUCCAGCCAUAAUUAUGAUAUUUUAUAACUGGCAAGUAAACUGAGGAAUGUCUAAAGAAUAUGAAUGUUAGUUGAGGUUUCGCCCCUCUGAAUGUGCCGGAGAAAGUAGCACGGACAAACGGUAUGACCUCUAUUUUACCUAUCUUUUAUUGUAACGCUAAUAAGAACUACGAGCACCUGAGGGCUGCAAUAGUAUGUAUGUAUGUGCAAGAUAAUAUUUUGCUAUGUCCUUUCCCCGAGUUUGUUUAGCUUAGAUGCUGAAGCAUCCACGCCACCAAGCUGCCACGGAAGUGGCAGUCUAUUUACACCGAAGAUGAAUAUAAUUCCUCGUUCCAAGCCGGAGAAAAUAUUCUUGACUAGCGGCUUUCUUCACUCAUCCCCCUUCACCAUGAUCAUCUAUCACUUGCACCACUGCAAAAAUGCGGACUGUAUGAAUGACGGCUACAAAUAUUUUACUGCACGACGUUUUUUCAAUCAACGGGUGGUCGUCAGCUUGAACUGAACCAUUCAGGUAAAAUAAUUUUAUUGACCGUUACAAUUAAAACUAGUAUCAACGUAGCUAUGUUGUAGUUGUAGUUAAUUACCUAUAUCUAAAAUAUAACAUUUCUGAAUAAAUAUCUAAGCCUGCAGGAACAGUAUAAGUACAUAACUAUGAAACUUUUUAUAUCAGUCAUGCUAUUAAAUAUUAAUAAAAACACAUGUAUCUAUUGCGAUUAAGUAGGUAGGAAUAUAACCCUGGCGCGUAGCCAGGCCGUUAGGAAUUUACUUUUUAGAGCUCAACGGGUAUGCUUAGCUACUGCUGCCAUUAUCCGCUGCUUGUACGAGAGAUAGCUGCAAUGAGACUUCACUGCGUGUACGAGUGCUGCAAUGAGACUUCACUGCGUGUACGAGUGCUGCAAUGAUGCUCCGCUGCUGACUGCUGCUACAUCUACGACGAUCCCAUUCCUGGCCUCUGCUUUCGAAUCAAGCCACUCUAUACGUGGCGCUGUCAAACCUAAGUAUAUUGAAGUGGUUCACUAGACUUGUCUAUCCAGGUUCCUUUUCCCUGUAACCCUAUGAUAUACAUGAGCGCUGCUGUCAUGCGACAGCUUUUUAUUUUUAACCAGUGCCUUGUCACAGAAUGCCUAAAACUACUGCUGCUGCCAGUUUCUACGUUUGACUACUGCUGCCAUGUCACAGAGUCCAUCAUCAAGAUCGCUGCUGCUGCCGGGCACGGCAUCUAAAAACUUUUGCUGCCUUGUCACAGACCGCUGCUGCCCUGCACAGGGUCUAUAGACUACUACUGCCUUGUCACAUAGUCGCCUCGCUCAUCAAGACGGCUGCUGUCUUGCACAGUGUCUACGUUUGACUACUACUAUCGCUGCUGCCCCGCACAGCGCCAUUAACUAUUGCCUUUGACUGCUGCUGCUUUGUCACAGAGUCCAUUAUCAUGAUCGCUGCUGCCCUGCACAGGAUCUAUAGACUACUGCUGCCUUGUCACAGAGUCGCCUUUCCAGACCGCUGCUGCCUUGCACGGGGUCAUAAAGACUACUGCUGCCGUGUCACAGAGUCCCCCUUCGAGACCGCUGCUGCCCUGCACAGGGUCUAAAAUACUACUGCUGCCUUGUCACUGAGUUACUCUUCAAGACCGCUGCUGCCCUGCACAGGGUCAUAAAGACUACUGCUGCCUCGUCACAGAGUCGCCCUUCAAGACCGCUGCUGCCCUGCACAGGGUCUAAAAGACUACUGCUGCCUCGUCACAGAGUCGCCCUUCAAGACCGCUGCUGCCUUGCACAGGGUCUAAAAGACUACUGCUGCCUCGUCACAGAGUCGCCUUUCAAGACCACUGCUGCCCUGCACAGGGUCAUAAAGACUACUGCUGCCUCGUCACAGAGUCGCCCUUCAAGAUCGCUGCUGCCUUGCACAGCGUCUGACCACUGCUGUCUACCACAUUGUCUUUUACCGCUGCUGCCACGGCACAGUCGGUUUGUUUUUUUAUUUCUGCUGCUUUGUCACAGAACCGACAAUUGCUGCUGCUGCUUUGUCUACGUGUAUAUUGACCGCCGAGUGUCCACCGUCCACAGGAGUGACCGCUGUUAAGUAACAUGUCGCGGUGAGACGUAUGACAAGUCUUAUAAUUUAUUUGCUGAGAACAAAUAGCACCAUGCCAGAGCUUAUAUGAUAAAGACAAUGGUUUAAACUGAAUGCUGCGGAUAAACCACAGCACGCCUAGGUGUUAACGCUGCUACGUGCAGCAUUGUCCAUAGACUACCUCUUAUCACCAAUUCAACCUGGUAGCCUGGAAGAAUCCUCGAGCCAGCCAUGCAAAUUUUCCUCUACGGAAUGGAACGCAAUGGACAACGCUUCGCAGAAAGUCACCAGGCCAGCAACCUUCGAGAUACACCUUUCCCGUAUUAGAAUGAUGCCAAACUCGAGCCAAGAUUGCUGAGCUACUUCUUGGGCGCAAGUCAUCCUGCUUCAGUGCCUACGUGGUGCUUUUCGGUCCAGUCUGCCCGCAGCGCGGUGCCAGCCCGGUCCAGUCUGCCCGCAGCGCGGUGCCAGCCCGGCCCAGUCUGCCUCCAGCGACACCAGUCUGCGCGCCAGUGGUGCCAGCCCGGCCCAGUCUGCGCGCCAGUGGUGCCAGCCCGGUCCAGUCUGCGCGCCAGUGGUGCCAGCACGGCCCAGUCUGCGCGCCAGUGAUGCCAGCCCGGUCCAGUCUGCGCGCCAGUGGUGCCAGCCCGGUCUAGUCUGCGCGCCAGUGGUGCCAGCCCGGUCCAGUCUGCGCGCCAGUGGUGCCAGCCCGUUCCAGCCUGCGCGCCAGUGGUGUCAGCCCGUUCCAGUCUGCGCGCCAGUGGUGCCAGCCCGGCCCAGUCUGCGCGCCAGUGAUGCCAGCCCGGUCCAGUCUGCGCGCCAGUGGUGCCAGCCCGGUCUAGUCUGCGCGCCAGUGGUGCCAGCCCGGUCCAGUCUGCGCGCCAGUGGUGCCAGCCCGGUCCAGUCUGCGCGCCAGUGGUGCCAGCCCGGUCCAGUCUGAGCGCCAGUGGUGCCAGCCCGAUCCAGUCUGCGCGCCAGUGGUGCCAGGGUACGAAUAAUCUUACAUUUAUUUUUAUUUGUUGGUGAUAUAAAUGCCUACGAGACGCACUGAGAGCAGGCAUCAAAGCAAUGGUAAAUAUUUUGAAAAUAGCCAAAAUGUUUUAAUAACUUUGCAGUCUGCAACAACGUUGUGAAGUCUGCCUGCCUACCUAUGCUGAAGAGGUUCGAGUCUGAAUCAGCCGAAGACACCAGUGUUCCGGUCAGCGUGAUGCCAGUCCGGUCCAGUCUGCAGGCUAAUGGUGUCAGCCAGCUCAUUCCAGUCUGCGCUCCUAUAGUGCCAGCCCGGUCCAGUCUGCGCUCCUAUGGUGCCAGCCAGUUCCCGUCUCCGCGCCAGGGACGCCAGCCCGGUCC
Long non-coding RNA from Cydia fagiglandana, 6589 nucleotides. RefSeq lists it as uncharacterized. The transcript is spliced from 5 exons. The record is from RefSeq and is a predicted model, not a curated record. NCBI's taxonomy places the organism in Eukaryota, Metazoa, Arthropoda, Insecta, Lepidoptera, Tortricidae.